GUCGGUUAUGGAGACAUGUAUCCAAAAACGAUAUGGGGCAAGUUGGUGGGAAGUGUCUGUUGCAUCUGCGGUGUGCUUGUUAUCGCCUUGCCAAUUCCGAUCAUCGUUAACAAC
Molecule: regulatory RNA element, 114 nt
Organism: Helobdella robusta
Lineage: Eukaryota; Metazoa; Annelida; Clitellata; Rhynchobdellida; Glossiphoniidae
Rfam family: Potassium channel RNA editing signal
About the family: This family represents a group of sequences related to the human potassium channel Kv1.1 hairpin element which directs the efficient modification of an adenosine to inosine by an adenosine deaminase acting on RNA (ADAR). The ADAR modification causes an isoleucine/valine recoding event which lies in the ion-conducting pore of the potassium channel.
Source: Rfam